This 72-nucleotide transfer RNA is filed under the name Marmota monax (woodchuck). It matches the Rfam family "tRNA". From Rfam's summary of the family: Transfer RNA (tRNA) molecules are approximately 80 nucleotides in length. Their secondary structure includes four short double-helical elements and three loops (D, anti-codon, and T loops). Further hydrogen bonds mediate the characteristic L-shaped molecular structure. tRNAs have two regions of fundamental functional importance: the anti-codon, which is responsible for specific mRNA codon recognition, and the 3' end, to which the tRNAs corresponding amino acid is attached (by aminoacyl-tRNA synthetases). tRNAs cope with the degeneracy of the genetic code in two manners: having more than one tRNA (with a specific anti-codon) for a particular amino acid; and 'wobble' base-pairing, i.e. permitting non-standard base-pairing at the 3rd anti-codon position. Lineage: Eukaryota; Metazoa; Chordata; Mammalia; Rodentia; Sciuridae. The record is from Rfam by way of RNAcentral.
GGAGAUGUACCUCAGUGGUAGAGCACUUGCCUAGCAUGCAGGAGUCCUGGGGUUUGAUACCCAGCACCCCCA